Molecule: RNA transcript, 7869 nt
Organism: Monomorium pharaonis (pharaoh ant)
Lineage: Eukaryota; Metazoa; Arthropoda; Insecta; Hymenoptera; Formicidae
Gene name: serine/threonine-protein phosphatase 2A regulatory subunit B'' subunit alpha
Exons: 14
Source: RefSeq, a predicted model, not a curated record
UAUAUGAAGUGCGCAAACGCAGGAGAAACGCGAGGAGAAACAGAACGUCUGCCAAUAUUUUUUCUCUCUUUAGAUUCUUUCCGAACGCAUUGGACUGAAAGUCACUUGGUCUAUUUAUAUUGCAUCUAUGGUAUUGAAGGCUUGUGAACAUGCUGCAUGCUUUCCAGUUUCCAGUUCGGUACAGUUUGGUGUUAUGGUGAAGUGUAUUGAACAACAAAUGACAAAUAUGAAGAAAUGUUGUAAAAUAGUAUAAGGCCCGGUUAUUUUAAUUUCUUGGUAAACUUAUCUAUUAGAUAAACAUGUCUAUCUUUAUUUCUCCCUGAGUAAAUAAUGACAAAUAAUAGAUGCCUGUCCGGUAAAGUUUCCCAAUAAACUGGAGCAAUUGGACCUAAGUGUUAGAUUAUGUUAUGACUUAUUAUACAAUUGUGUUUAAUUAUCUUGAUUAUGUGCCUAUAAAAAUAUGCCUUUCAAAGCAUAACUUUUGAUGCAACUUAAACAUGAAGUAGUCGAGGAAAUUCUGUUCUAAGUGAUUGUUCUAAUUUAAGUGUUACUAUUUAUGCAUUCUUUAAAUACUAAAAGAUCGCAAGAUAUGUCAUAUAUAAACAAACGAAAAGGUGGAUAGUGUCUUAUGGAAAUUGCUAUAUUAAGUGAUUCACAAACGCGUAUUCCGUCAAGCGGACAUGUGAUGAAAGUAAACCGAUUGUGUGACGGAAUGCCGUUCUAUAAUAUGGACUAACAGAAAAAUGAACAUACAUAGAAGGGAACAUCUAUUUAAUAAUUCGAAAAGUAUUAAAAACUUCAAGAAAUGGUUACUUAUGCGAGUCAGACUCUAUCUCAAAUUUGGGCAUUGUUUCAACCAUAUUAUUAAUUAUCCUAUUAAAAAAUUCUGAAAUGAUAUUAAAAGUUACGCAUAUUGACGAAAAGAAGAAAUAAAAUUAGAAAGUAUGAAAGUAUAAUUAGAAAAAUAUGAAUGUAAACGAAAAAAAGAAACAAUGAUAGAUUCAUAAAAGGAAAUUAUAGGAUAAUAUGGCAGUCGUGGAAAAUAAAAUUAUUGGGCCAACCGGUCUGAUACGAUAAAAAUAUCUUAACAAACAUCUUCAUCGUUAUUGUCAGUGACAUCAAAAUCGUCAUCGCUGUCGUUAUUGUCCUGGAAUUGUCAGAUCUACGCAACACGACGCAAUCUCUAUGUAUCAGCGAUUAUCAUUUUGUUGACUUACGUCGAAGUAAGGCAGUACACUAUCCAAAUUUGAAUGUUUGUUUGAUGAAUGAAUUAUAUUCAGAAUAUGAUCGAGUGAUCUGUCAAACGAUUUAUUUUGAAUUAAGCAGUUAAGUAGUUAAUUUCAUAAUCAUUAUCCGCAAUUGCAUCAGUAGCAACGUUUCUGUGAUAUGGCUGCCACAGCCAAACAUGAUUUACGUCGUAAGUUUUCUGCGGAUGCGUCCGCUUCUGGCGAGGAAGAUAUUGCCGCGAUUGCCAAACAGAUCAGCGAUCAUGCAGAGGCGAUUUAUCAAACGUGGAAAAGUCGCGGAUUAGCACCGACGGAGAUUCUAACUUGUCACAACAAUACAACUGCUGUUGACAAAUUUGGUAGUGCAUUGACACCUUCCAAUUUGUCUGCUCUCGGAAAUACCGUGACUGGAAAUAAAAUUGACGGCAAGACGUCGCCGUCGUUGUUGCCAUCACUCGAACAUUCUUCCCCAACGACAGUAAAUAUAUUAACUCAAACGCCUAAUCUGGACAAUGGCAAUCUUGAAAAAUUAGUCAACAAUUUUGUAGUAGAAGAUAAAGCUAGAAUAGCUGCUUCUAAACAAAAAUCACCAUCUAAGCCGUUACCGUCUUCCAUACAAUUUGUUCUACAAAAAUUUGAGAAAAACUCUAUGCAACAGCAGCAACAAACUACUGCAAAGAAUAAAGUAGUUCCCGAUAAUUCGAAAAAAUUGACAAGUGUCUUAUCAUCUACUUCAUCGUUUUUGAAUAAACCAUCACAAAUAAUAAAACCUCAAGUUCCUGCGAAGAUGCCCUCUUCUCAUCACUGUGAAGUCUUUCUGGAAACUAUUGAAACUACUUUUCCAAUCAACUUGAUAUCUUCCAAUAGCGUUACGCAGCAAAAAAGGCCCAUUAGUACGUUUAUGGCAUCAUCACCCAUUGAUUCUUUGUCAAAUAUUAACUUAUCGCCCUCGUCCAAUUCUGGUUUAACAACUUGGCCAUUGAAAAAUAAAUUAAACGACUCUAAAAAAAUCGCAGAUGUAUCUCGCAUAUCAGCUAAAACACUUCAGCAAAAAGAUAUUACGAAAACAUUGUUAGUGCAAGAUCAAAAGAGAUCAGUUGUGACCGACGUAAACUCGCGCUGUAUGUAUCUUGAUGAAGUUGCACGAGAAGAAGAAAGACUAAUAAAUGCUUUAAAAACAGGUGCUGUAAUUUCUGAAGAAUUAGAGGAAACAAUGGAGGCGUGUUUGUGCAAUAGACAGAAACCGACUAUUAAGCAAGAAAAAUUAAAAAUUGAACCAGUCAAACAAGUUAUUAGUAAAAGCCAUAAUUAUUAUGGAAAUAGUUCUACAAUAUCUAACUCAGAAACUUCUAAUUCUAUGACAAACGUAAUUAAUGCUAGCAAUCCCACCGCUGUUACUGAUCAUAAUGCGAAAUCACUCAGUAAGGAUGAUUUGUCCGCUAUGUCAGCAGUUGACUAUGCUAAGGUUAGAUAUCAGGCUGCUCAACAGAACCCACCUACUCAGCAGCGACUUGAGGAACAGCGAGCUUCUAAUAAUUUAUACAAUUCCACCACAGAACAAUUGGUUUCUAGUACGCGAACAAAAUUUGAAAUGGAGAUACGACAGAAUAAAAACACUAAGGAUUCGGACAAAGAUUCAGUAACAUCAAGGUGGGGACCAAGAAUUGCUUCCUCACGACCGCGACUAGAACAGACUGUGCCUCAUCCAGAAUUGACUAAUCAACAAAAGCAGCACAUAAGAACAGCCGUGGUAACAGGUACGGGUAGUAAUCCCGUCAGACCCUUCCUUACUAGAGGCUCCGUGGCAGAACGUGUACUCAUUUUCGAAAAAUGUCCGAGCGAGCUGCUGUUAGACAAACGUUGUUUACGACCACCGACGAUUAAUACAUGGAGGGAUGGCCAUGAGGUGCAAAAUAAAGCUCAGACUUAUUCGAAAGAGAAAACACAGCAGAAAAGUUUGCCAUUGCAUACAACUUUACAAAGGCAGGUGAAAGCUAAUAGAAAUGUUCAUAUACCGAGAUUUUAUUUUCCAGGAGGGAAACCGCUGCCUGUUUCACAAUUAGAAACAAUUGUUUCAAAUAUUACUGUGGCUUUUCAAAGUUUACCGAGUUGUUGUGUUUCUCGUGCACAAUUUCAUAUUAUCACGAAGGCUUGCGACUUACCCUUGUAUUGGAAAAUACCACUUUUUCUGGCAGCAGGCGGUGAUCAAAAAGGAUUUGUCGAGAUGAAUGUUUUUCUAGAGUUUUGGAAAGAAUUAACAGCUACCCAUUACGAUGCAGCUAGUAAAUUCAUCAAUAUUCUUACUCGGGGUCUUCGAGACAAUAUACUUCCGGAAGACUUAAUUCCACUCGUACAGGAUGUUGUAGAAACGCAUCCAGGAUUGACAUUUUUAAAAGAAGCCACAGAAUUUCAUUCACGUUAUGUACACACGGUGAUUGCUAGAGUAUUUUAUUGCGUGAAUCGAAGUUGGAGUGGUAAAAUUUCAAUUGCCGAAUUAAGAAGAAGUAAUUUAUUGGCAAUAAUUGCUAUGCUCGAACACGAGGAAGACAUUAAUCAAAUCACAGCGUACUUCAGCUAUGAACAUUUUUAUGUGAUAUACUGCAAGUUUUGGGAAUUAGAUCGUGACCAUGAUCUUUUUAUAGAUAAAGAAGACUUAAUGAGACAUAAUGAUCAUGCAUUAUCUACUCGAAUGAUUGAAAGAAUAUUUAGCGGUGCCGUGACAAGAGGAAGUCGAGCAAAAAAUAAUAACAAUGUACAACAGCUGGAAGACAAGAUGAGUUACACGGAAUUUGUAUGGUUUCUUCUUAGCGAAGAAGACAAGAAUCAUCCAACUGCUAUUGAAUAUUGGUUUAGGUGUAUGGAUCUUGAUGGCGAUGGUUAUUUAUCAAUGUAUGAACUAGAAUACUUCUAUGAAGAGCAAUUACGUCGAAUGGAAGCGAUUGGUCUGGAAACAUUGCCUUUCGAGGAUUGUCUUUGUCAGAUGUUAGAUAUGAUUCAUCCAAUGAUAUCUGGCAAGAUAUCGUUAAAUGAUUUAAAAAAAUGCAAAAUGACAUCUAUCUUCUUUGAUACUUUCUUUAAUCUGGAAAAAUAUCUGGAUCAUGAACAAAGAGAUCCAUUUGCUUCAGCAAGAGAUCACGAUGCUGAUGGUCACGAACUCUCGGAUUGGGAUCGAUUUGCAGCAGAAGAAUAUGAAUUAUUAGUUGCUGAAGAAAGUGGCAAUGAACAACAAGAGCAAAUGUUGCAUAAUGUUACAUCAUGGAAAUUAUCGUCAAAUGGAGAUAUUUUAUUAGACAACUCGAUGAAUAUGACUAAAGAUGGAAAUUCAUUUAUGAAUUUAUUGGAUAUUUAUAUACAACAGUCAGACCAUCGUGACAGCGACGAUACCGAUAUUGAUGAUUAUGCUGACAGCGAUAAUUAACUUAUCGAUAAAUAUAUUCGAUAUUGGAAGAAAAGGAUAAGUUGCAGCAAAAGGAAUGCAUAAAAAUUAUUAUUCAAUAAUAAGUUUGCUUUCGUUCUCUUUUGUCACAAACACGGAAUGCUACAAUACAUCGUAUACACUUCAGAACAAGCAGUUUCACAAUCGGAUCUUCUCUAUUCGAAUUAAAUAAUUGUCUUCUAUUAACUGCUAUUAUCACCUUGAAAAGAAGACAUCUUUCUUAAUAUCUUAAUAACUGUUAUAUAUAAAUGCAAGACGUUUUAAGAUAUUUCUGCAUAUGAACAAGAACAAUCUAUGUCUGAAAAAGAGUGACGCUCAUAUUAGAUUGAUUGGAUAUUGCGCGCUUUCUUCAUGAAUUUGCACCUGAUGAUCACUUUGCUAUAGGCUAUAUGACAUAGUAAUGUGUCAUCGAUGCCACUGAAAUUGGAUACAUUUAAAGCCGUUAUGACCAGAAUUGACAGUGGAAUAAAAAUUCUAUUGAGCCAAGGUAUAUGCAUACUCGACAGAGUCAUCCGUGUAAACGAGUUGGCAGUUGUGUGUACGUCGUGACGAUGGUGUAAGAAUACUAGAUUUAAUUAAUUAUUUGAUCAAAAUUAUUAUUUUUCUGAGAACAUUCCAUAAUAAAAUAUUAGAUGGCGUUUGUGUAUUAUAACAGUUGCCUUACAAGGAACAUUGUUCCGCUCAUAUAUAUAAUACUAUUAUAUUGCUAACGCUUAUCUCUCCCAAUAAACGGGGCUCCGAGAAAGUGAGACAAAAAUAUAGUAUAUAUAGGCACUCAUAUACUACAAAUGUUACGCGCAUGCUCUGAUAGAAGAGAUUAAUUAUUAUAUAAAAAAUUUAAUAAUGAGAUUUACUAAACUAAUUAUAUUUCGCUUUUGAUGCAAAUCUUUCACAUGUAUAAUACAAUUGCACUGUUUCCAAUUACAUACAUUGUUUUAAGUGAUAAAAGUAAGGCAAAAGUGAGAUGAAUCUAAACUGACGUCGUGUUUGCAGCGUUGACAGUCAUUCAUCAAAACGCGCGCACGCGCAUUUGGUUCAUAGUACACGAAUUGUGGAAACGAGAGGUUGAUAUAUAUCUGCAUCGUGGUAUUGUCACUCAUAUUUCAGCUUGACUAGCAAUAUAGUAGUAUUACAUAUAUGGUUGCGCUCAAGGUUAAGGUGACCAGAUGUUUCGCAACUAGAUGCGAGACAUGCGUUGAAAAGCAAAAAAUAGCUUUUCCCAAUUGUGCGUCUAUCUUUAAAUGUGAAAGUUAAAAGUUUAUUUAUAUAAUCUUAUUAAUAUUAAAUUUAUACAUAUUUUAAUAUCUUUUGCUUUUAUCCUUAAAUAAACAUAAAACCAAUUUUAACAUUUAAUUUAACAUAAAAUUUUCAGUGUUUUUAAUUAAUACAGUCUUUAUAAAGAAUUACUAUGUGUCUCAUACAAUGCACAUUUAUACAUAUAACUAGCUAUUAACUCUGUAUAUAAAUAUAACUUUCCAUAUAAAUAAGACUAAUAUAUAAAUAACAAUAAUAUUAUUUAUACGUAUUUAUACUUAUUUUGUAGCAGAAUGAAUUCUUCUCAAUAAAUCUUUAUUAUUUGAAAUAUUUUUAUAAAAUUCGUAGCAUAAAUUGGAAAAAUUGCACUUUACUAGUAAUACUGCUUUUAAUGUUUCUACGUUCAGCUGCAUUUUUUCUGAGAUCCAAAACUGAUUUAUUCCGGAGAACACUCCUUCCGUUGCAGCAUUGGUACCUGACAAGCAUAAUGCAAAUUCUGUUAUUUUCUUUAUGUCAGGGUUGCAGGAUUAGUAAUUAAACGAACCACAAUUCAAAAUUCCGAAAGGGCUUGUGAAUUAAAAGUAAGUUUAAUUCAUAAUUCUGAAAAGGCUUAUGAAUUAAAAGUGAGUUUAAUUUAUAUAGUUUUAAAAAGACUUAUUAAUUAAAAGUGAGUUUAAUUCACAAUUCCGAAAGGGCUUGUGAAUUAAGACUGAGUUUAAUUCAUGAUUCCGAAAGAGCUUGUGAAUUUAAUUUUAAAUAAAUCCAGAUGAUUGGAUUGAAAAACAAUGAACUAAUUCACGGAUGAUUUAAGUCCCGUGAGAGGAAUGAAUUCAUAUUUAUGAAUUUUUAUUAUUAAUGAAUAACUUUUAUUCACCAUAUGUUCUUGAAAAAUAAAUAUAAUAAAUAUUUUAUUUAAAAAUAGCAAUUUUUUUAGCCAACUGCAAUACAUUACCAUCCCUUAUAAAUAUAUUGUUAAUAUAAAUAAAUAGCACUCCGAAAAAUGGCGGAAGAGAGUGGAUGGAAGGGAGGGCUACUCUCGGAGUUUUGUGGUAAUCAUGGAAUGAUAUGGAGUGGAAGAGAGAGAGGAGAGUGUGAUGAAGAGGAAGCCGAAGUGAAAAGGAAAUCCGGGUAUUGGAGGAAGGUGAGCGGAGAAGGUAGAAAAGGUAUAAUAAGAGAUAUAUAGAAGAUGGGAGAUGUCGAAGUGGUAUGCAUGAGAGGUAGUUCGGUGCGCAUGUCCGGGAGAAUGAAAAGUCGAUCCGAAAGAGGGCAUGGUGGAGCGAGAUCUCAAUAUAUCGAUAUAGGCACAGGAGGAAAGUGAUUGGUGAAGAGAGCGAUAAAGAGAAAUGGAUCGAAGUAUCGAGCAUUGAGAUCGAGGAAGGAGAAGUGCCGCAUAGUGACAGGAUUAAACAAUGGUAGUUAAGAAGGAAGCAAGUGCAAGAGAUGGAAAUAGUGAAAAAAGAGAAGAGAGAAAUAAAGAGAAGGAAGUUGGCGAUUAGAUAAUGACAAGUGGAGAGUUGAAGGAGAUAAAGGAGGAGUUGAGAGGGAUUAGGGAGUGUUUAUUGGAGAUGACAAGGUUAUGGAAAAUGUGGCAGGAAGGAAAAGGAGGCAGAGGAAAAGAUAGAGAGAGAAGAGAGUGGAAAGAGAACGAUAAGGAGGAGAGGGAAGUGCAAGAGGAACGGAAGAUAGGACGCGAAGAGAAGAAGGAGAUAAGAGACAAGAGGAGAGAGAACGUGGACGAGCACGGGGAAAGAAGGAAGACGAAGACAGGAGAAAGGGAAGCUGACGACGAGGAAGAGAGCAGGAGGAAGCAAGAAAUGAAUGAGAAGAAGGAGAAGGGAGAAGAAGUGGAGGAGAAGAGUUCAAAGGAAGGUAAAAAGAUGGAAAAUAGAAGGCGAACAGAAGAGACAGAGAGAGUAGAAGAGCUAGAGGAGGAAAGAGUAAAAAGAUGGACGA